UACUAUUAUUUUUAAAGAAUAAUCCAUCAAAACUCCCCGAGAAACCCCUAAUUUUGUCAUCCGACUGCUAUGCGAACUGCGUCUCGGCGAUCUAUAAAGUCCCAACUCCCAAGCCGCGACUUUCAGCUUCCCAUAGCCGACACCUCCAAAACAUUUCCAGUUUCACCGUCGCCACCAGGCCACGCCCUCCCCGUUCACUGUUAAUUUCUGCCUUAUCUCCUUGCUUCUCACCCUUUCUGCUCUGCCAAAAAGACAACAGAUCUUACUUCUUUCUCUCCUUGUAUUCAAAGGCCACGAUAUCUUUCACGGGUCAGAUCAUCUCCUGUAUUUGGAAGAAAACAAAUAUUGUUAAUCCCAAAAUUCGUGGAAACUCAUUGAAUGUGCAAAAUGAGUCUGGUGACUGAUUCUCUGGUACACUCGUCUAGUAGCGAUGACUUUGCAGCUUUUCUUGAUGCAGAGUUGGAUUCUAAAUCCUCAGACUCAUCACCGAAUGAAGAAGAAGCUAAGGGUGAAUUUGAUUCUGAUUCUUCAGAUUCAUCACCAAAUGAAGAAGCUGAGAAUGAUUCUGACACUGAAAACCAUAGGAUAAAAAGGUCUAGGGUGGAGAAAUUGGAGAACAUAGAAGAUCCUAAAAGAUCAACGUCUAAUGGAUCCCUAGAGCAGAACUUAGGAGCAUCCUCAAGUAAGGAUGCCUGCAUACAUCCAGGAUCUUUUGGAGACAUGUGUAUACUCUGUGGGCAAAAGUUGAAUGAGGAAACUGGUGUCACGUUUGGAUACAUACAUAAGGUAUAUUGUGAAAAGAUCUUCAAUAUGUGAAUGCAUCUUCCAUUAUGACCUAGCUAUGAUUUAUCAUCCCCUUAUAUGGGGCUGUUCAUGGGUCUGGCUUGCCGUCAACCUGACCUGACCUGAGAUCAUUUGGCUUGUGCUGGUUUGUGAUACAACCUGACUGACUGCGGAAAGGAUCAGUUCAGGGAUUAAGGCUUGGCAAUGAUGAAAUUAUGCGGUUACGUAACACAGAUGUGAAGAAUCUGUUAUGCCACAAAAAGCUUUACUUGGUUCUUGAUUUAGACCAUACAUUGCUUAAUUCUACUCAGCUCAUGCAUAUGACAUUAGAGGAGGAAUAUUUGAAGAGUCAAAUAGAUUCUCUGCAAGAUGUUUCAAAUGGUAGCCUGUUCAUGUUGGACUUCAUGCACAUGAUGACCAAGUUAAGGCCCUUUGUACGCACAUUUCUCAAGGAAGCAAGUCAAAUGUUUGAGAUGUACGUAUACACGAUGGGUGAUAGAGCAUAUGCGAUGGAAAUGGCUAACCUGCUUGACCCUAGAAGAGAGUACUUCAAUGCUAGAGUUAUUUCACGUGAUGAUGGAACUCAAAGAAAUCAAAAAGGACUUGAUAUUGUUUUGGGGCAAGAAAGUGCUGUUCUGAUCCUUGAUGAUACAGAAACUGCAUGGACAAAGCACAAAGACAAUUUGAUAUUGAUGGAAAGAUAUCAUUUUUUCGCUUCAAGUUGUCACCAAUUUGGCUUCAAUUGUAAAUCACUUUCGGAGCUAAAGAGUGACGAGAGUGACUCAGAUGGAGCACUUGCAUCUGUUCUUAAAGUGUUGAGGAAAAUUCACCAUAUGUUCUUCGAUGAGCUAGUGGAUAAUCUUGAUGGCAGAGAUGUGAGACAGGUUUUAAAAACUGUUCGUAAGGAUGUAUUGAAGGGAUGUAAAAUUGUCUUUAGUCGAGUUUUUCCUGCCCAAUUUCAGGCUGAAAACCACCAUCUCUGGAAAAUGGCUGAGCAAUUGGGAGGCACGUGCUCCGGAGAACUCGACCCAUCAGUUACACAUGUGGUGUCCCAAGAAGCUGGGACCGAGAAGUCUCGUUGGGCUCUGAAGAACAAGAAGUUUUUGGUUCAUCCACGGUGGAUAGAGGCUGCAAAUUAUUUGUGGCAAAGACAGCCUGAAGAGAAUUUCUGUGUCAACCAACCAAAAAAUCAAUAGUCAGUAUCUUCAUUUAGGUUUAAACAAUUUUUGUAGUAAUUGAUAAUUUGAGGGCUUGGUGUUUGGUUCCUGUUUAGUAAUGUAGGUUCCUUGACCUCGCAUCACCAUAUAUUAUGGUUACCUGUAUACAUCAAGCGGUUCACAGAAUCAUGUAAAAUCACCAAAUGUGUUUGAUAGCACCCAUGAUCGUCAAGUGGUGAAUGAUCAAAGCCCCACUGAAUUUCAUUUGUUGAUGCUGCUUGGCUAUAUGGAUUAUUUUUAGAAUAUUUUUCGCUUAGGUCUGCUCAAACUGUCAGUGUAUUGUUGCCGCUAGUGGGACUUAUCUGGUUGUUAGUGCCCCACAGGGGAGGAGUGAUUAUCAUUUUGGUGAUCAUAGUUCGGUUAAUCAAAUUGUUAACAAUUCGGUUAAUUGAAAUUUUUAGUAUGUUGAAAUUUUUAGUAUGUUUUGAAUUGAAUCCUUAAUAUCAAUUAGCUGCUUAUUGGUUUCAUUUAUAAGCUGAGUGUAUUUAAAUUCAACUAAGAACAGCGAAGGAAACGGGCUGCUUAGACUGCACGGCUGAUUUGUAUGCCAUCCGUGAUUACGCGCAAACGAAUAUUACUUGCAUUUAAUAGUGGAUUAGUGGAUUAGCAACAAGUCAAUUAGUAGAGAUUAUUGUUUAAGCGGGUGAGUGUUUG
This 2654-nucleotide unclassified non-coding RNA is filed under the name Hevea brasiliensis (rubber tree). Lineage: Eukaryota; Viridiplantae; Streptophyta; Magnoliopsida; Malpighiales; Euphorbiaceae. The record is from RNAcentral.